This 253-nucleotide ribosomal RNA is filed under the name uncultured bacterium. RNAcentral's name for it is "partial 16S ribosomal RNA". It matches the Rfam family "Bacterial small subunit ribosomal RNA", at positions 524 to 776 of the family's 1533-position model. The record is from RNAcentral.
UACAGAGGUCUCAAGCGUUGUUCGGAUUCAUUGGGCGUAAAGGGUGCGUAGGUGGCGGGGCAAGUCAGGUGUGAAAUCUCGAGGCUCAACCUCGAAACUGCACUUGAUACUGCCUUGCUCGAGUACUGGAGAGGAGAUUGGAAUUUACGGUGUAGCAGUGAAAUGCGUAGAUAUCGUAAGGAAGACCAGUGGCGAAGGCGAAUCUCUGGACAGUUACUGACACUGAGGCACGAAGGCCAGGGGAGCAAACGGG